UGGGGAAUAUUGGGCAAUGGGCGAAAGCCUGACCCAGCAACGCCGCGUGAGGGAAGAAGGUUUUCGGAUUGUAAACCUCUGUCCUAAGGGACGAAGGAAGUGACGGUACCUUAGGAGGAAGCCCCGGCUAACUACGUGCCAGCAGCCGCGGUAAUACGUAGGGGGCGAGCGUUGUCCGGAAUGACUGGGCGUAAAGGGCGUGUAGGCGGCAGUAUAAGUCCGGAGUGAAAGUCCUGCUUUCAAGGUGGGAAUUGCUUUGGAGACUGUACAGCUUGAGUGCGGAAGAGGUAAGUGGAAUUCCCAGUGUAGCGGUGAAAUGCGUAGAGAUUGGGAGGAACACCAGUGGCGGAGGCGGCCUGCUGGACGACAACUGACGCUGAGGCGCGAAAGCGU
Molecule: ribosomal RNA, 393 nt
Filed under: uncultured bacterium
Lineage: Bacteria
Description: bacterial SSU rRNA
Rfam family: Bacterial small subunit ribosomal RNA
Source: RNAcentral